UAAAGAAGCAUUGAUCCAUCUUACACACAAUCAUACUCCCCAUAAAUUAAAUACACAAGAAUCACCAAUCUUUUCAUCUUCAUCUUCUUCUUCCAUGGUCUCCAAAUCCUCCUCUCUCACCACUCCCUUAUAAAUACACAAUCACCACUCUUUUCAUAUCAUCUUCUUCUUUCGUCUCCAACCCUUCUCAAUCUUAGAUAUGACUUCAUCAAUACUUUUCAUUGUUGCGUUUUUGUUCUUGAUGAAACCCUCAUGUUCCUCCCCCUAAUAGCAUUUUAAUUUUAGCCGGCCAAAGCAACAUGGGUGAUCCUGGUGGAGUUAAUUAUCCACUCUUCUGUGCCAACAUUUGUGUUUGGGAUAAACAUAUUCCUCCAGGAUCGAUACCCCAACCCUCCACUCUUCGAUUUGCUUUAAACUACACCUGGGAGCAAGGUCGGGAGCCCCUUCAUUGGGACAUUGACCCUACCAAGACCAACGGUGUCGGUCCAGGAAUGGCUUUUGCAGAUCAUCUCCUUGCAAAAGCUAGCGAAAAUGUUGGCACAGAAAAGUGGACAAUUAACUCUAGAAUGAUCGGAUAUAUUUUUGGCUCAAUCUGCUUAAAUUCCAAAUGGAGUUUCUUCAUUCUUCUUAGAAUGAUCAUAUAUAUUUAGGUUCUUUCUCUAGACUUUUGUUGUUUUAUUCCAUUUUUUUCAUCUUUAUUUACAUUGUUUUCUACAUCUUUAACUGGGUUAGCUAGAUUGUUCUCGUAUAAGUGAAUGGAUUAAAGGGACUGGUAGGUAUACAAGCUUGAUCCGACGGAUCAAUGCUUCUUUGGAGUCUGGUGGCCGCCUACAAGGGUUUGUAUGGUUUCAAGGAGAAUCUGAUGCUGCAUUAGAGGUAGAAUCACAAGUCUACCACCAAAAUUUGAUAAACUUUUUUAAGGAUCUUCGUGACGACCUGAACCAACCGACUUUGCCCAUCCUACUGGUGAAGAUAGCUAACCACGAUCUCAACAUUAGCCCAUUUAUAAGUUAUGUAGAGGACGUAAGAAAGGCGGAAGAGGCAGUCGAUCAUGAGUUGCUUGACGUAACAACUGUGGAUGCUAAAAAAGCAGUCCAACAUGUUCUGAAUCUCGGCCAAGAACCUUAUAAUCACGAUGGACAUCUCAGUGUACACACUGAGGUAAAAAUAGGAAUAAUGCUGGCCAAGGCUUAUAUAAAAUUUAGUUUGAAGUAGUAGAUAAGCCUCAACAUUGUUGGAUCGAGCUCUUCACCUUGAACGAAAAUAUAACCCAUUAUGGUUUCUAGCUUGCUUCAAUUAACUCUGAGUUAUGUUUAUCCUAUUUCUUUGUAAUAUUUCUUCGUUGAUCAGUAUUAAUAAAUAUUAAUAUUCUCACUAGCCUC
RNA transcript from Cucumis sativus (cucumber), 1382 nucleotides. RefSeq lists it as uncharacterized. NCBI's taxonomy places the organism in Eukaryota, Viridiplantae, Streptophyta, Magnoliopsida, Cucurbitales, Cucurbitaceae. The transcript is spliced from 2 exons. The record is from RefSeq and is a predicted model, not a curated record.